RNAcentral lists this long non-coding RNA (1756 nucleotides) under Malus domestica (apple). RNAcentral's name for it is "long non-coding RNA (MDOM_LNC019329)". Lineage: Eukaryota; Viridiplantae; Streptophyta; Magnoliopsida; Rosales; Rosaceae. The record is from RNAcentral.
ACAUGCUUGGAACACAAGGUUGGGAUGGAAUUGAAGAGUUGAAGAUUUGAGGUUUCCUACUUCAAGUAGGAAAGCUAAGCCUAAAAGUUUCCAUUUUGGGUUGAUCUUUCCUAAUUUGGAAUUGGCAACCAAAGUUUCUAAAGUUGGAAGUUUCUAUUCUUGGAGGUUUCCAUUUUCGUGAGUUUCUAUUCUCGGCUUUGGGCUUUUGGACGACCCAUCCUUACUUCUUGGACCUAUGUCGCACCUAAACCCUAACCCUAGCCACUUAAUCAGCCGCACCUAGGCCUUGUUCACAUGCAAAAAUCUGAUUGUUUACCCUAAGCCCAUGCCGCACCUUUCCAUCCUAGAAGCCUUAUUUUACAAACCUUAACCCUAGCCCAUUGUUUCAAUCUGAUUUCAUUAGGGUUUUAGGUGCCUAUAUAUAUGUGUUUUACUCCUUUGGCCGAAUAUCCACCCUCUACACAAUUCAGAAAUUCAUCCAACCUUAUUUCCUCACCUUUCCGCAGCCAUCAUCACCCUUAGAACCCCUAGCCGCCACUCCUCCAUACAAACCAGCCACUCCCCACUCCUUGCCGCAACCAGUCCACACCUCUAGCCACCAUCCUACACCUCCAUACACCAUUCAUACCCCUUGCCGCACCACCAUACCAUCCUAACUCCCUUCUAGAACCAAAAUCACAUCCAAAAUCACCCUAAACCCUCUCUGCCGCAGCAAGGAGAAGAAGAAAGAGGAGCUUGAAGUCAGAAAUUCAAAGUGGAAUUCUUGGGCGUUUUAGGUGUAAUCUUUCUUAUGUCUUCGAUGCUUCAAUUCAAUAAACUUUGUGUUGUGAGUAUGAAGAACUAAACCCCCUUAGUUGGGGGGUAAUUCGAAACCAUGUAUAUGCUUGCAAUAUGAUUUGAUUACAUUCAGUUGUUAUUACAUAAGUUGUGGAUUCAAUUCGUUCAUCUAUUUGAUUGAUGACUUAUUUGUGUAUGUUGAUUGAGAGUGCACACUUAGUUUUCAUGCAUGAAUAUGAUGCUAGAUUAUGAGGGAGUUUCACCUAAUAGUUACAAUCUUAUAAUCACAAGUAGUGAAGGUCGCUUGAAAACGAUCGCGUUGAAUGAUUUCUUAGCAUAAGUUUCAUGCAAUUCAUAGUAACAAAUGCUUCGUCAAUGCUUAUGUUUUUCAUAGAACGUAAUGAUUCGUGCUUGUAUCUCUAUUAUGCAAUUCAUGUAGGGAACUUGUAGGGAAUGUUUUGGGUUGUCGUAUGCAAUCAUCCAACCUAAUAACUUGUGGAAAAACUGAGGGUUAAUUAGUGGAAUUCACGGUUAAUUUGGGGCGUUGAGUAUUCAUAAUUUAUUGGAAGAACAACUGAAAAUCGUUUUGUUUGCAAGUGUGACAUGUAUGGAGAAGAACCUCCUAACUAGCCUUUUAUCCAUCCUUUUUCACCAAAAUCGAUUUUACAAUCUGUGUUAGUUAAAGUUCUGUUUUUGUGUUAAAUUUUCGUCCAAAACAAAUCCCCCUUUAAUUUGAAGUCUUAGAUUAGUUAGAAAGUGUUUUGAUUUGUGUUUCUAAGUAUUUUGAUUCAAGUUUUCAUCAAAUUUCGUCCAAAUUAGUGUAGGGUGCUCAAAACUGCCCAGAAAGUGGUUUUUAGGCAGUUUUGAGCCUUCUAGUUGCUGUUUUGAGUUUUAGGUUUGUUUAAGUGUUUCAGCCUUUACUUUUGCAUUCUUUGAGUCUAGUUUAGUGUUUUAAACUUUGUUUUUGAGUUUUUAAGUC